RNAcentral lists this ribosomal RNA (433 nucleotides) under uncultured bacterium. Its description in RNAcentral is "partial 16S ribosomal RNA". It matches the Rfam family "Bacterial small subunit ribosomal RNA", at positions 29 to 507 of the family's 1533-position model. The record is from RNAcentral.
AACGAACGCUGGCGGCAUGCCUAACACAUGCAAGUCGAACGAGACCUUCGGGUCUAGUGGCGCACGGGUGCGUAACGCGUGGGAACCUGCCCUUAGGUUCGGAAUAACUCCCCGAAAGGGGUGCUAAUACCGGAUAAUGUCUUCGGACCAAAGAUUUAUCGCCUUUGGAUGGGCCCGCGUUGGAUUAGCUAGUUGGUAGGGUAAAAGCCUACCAAGGCGACGAUCCAUAGCUGGUCUGAGAGGAUGAUCAGCCACACUGGGACUGAGACACGGCCCAGACUCCUACGGGAAGCAGCAGUGGGGAAUAUUGGAAAAUGGGCGAAAGCCUGAUCCAGCAAUGCCGCGUGAGUGAUGAAGGCCUUAGGGUUGUAAAGCUCUUUUACCCGGGAUGAUAAUGACAGUACCGGGAGAAUAAGCGCCGGCUAACUCCGUG